UGGGGAAUAUUGGACAAUGGGCGAAAGCCUGAUUCAGCCAUGCCGCGUGUGUGAAGAAGGUCUUCGGCUUGUAAAGCACUUUAAGUUGGGAGGAAGGGUACUUACCUAAUACGUGAGUAUUUUGACGUUACCGACAGAAUAGGCACCGGCUAACUCUGUGCCAGCAGCCGCGGUAAUACAGAGGGUGCAAGCGUUAAUCGGAAUUACUGGGCGUAAAGCGCGCGUAGGUGCUUUGUUAAGUUGGAUGUGAAAGCCCCGGGAUCAACCUGGGAACUGCAUCCAAAACUGGCAAGCUAGAGUAUGGUAGAGGGUGGUGGAAUUUCCUGUGUAGCGGUGAAAUGCGUAGAUAUAGGAAGGAACACCAGUGGCGAAGGCGACCACCUAGACUGAUACUGACACUGAGGUGCGAAAGCGUGGGGAGCAAACA
RNAcentral lists this ribosomal RNA (427 nucleotides) under uncultured bacterium. Its description in RNAcentral is "bacterial SSU rRNA". It matches the Rfam family "Bacterial small subunit ribosomal RNA", at positions 355 to 774 of the family's 1533-position model. The record is from RNAcentral.